Molecule: ribosomal RNA, 253 nt
Filed under: uncultured bacterium
Lineage: Bacteria
Description: partial 16S ribosomal RNA
Rfam family: Bacterial small subunit ribosomal RNA
Source: RNAcentral
GACGUAGGGCGCGAGCGUUGUCCGGAUUCACUGGGCGUAAAGGGCGCGUAGGCGGCCCGUUAAGUGUGGAGUGAAAGCUCCGGGCUCAACCCGGAAACCGCUUCGCAUACUGGCGGGCUGGAGGGACGGAGAGGCGAGUGGAAUUCCCGGUGUAGCGGUGAAAUGCGUUGAUAUCGGGAGGAACACCCAUGGCGAAGGCAGCUCGCUGGCCGUUUCCUGACGCUGAGGCGCGAAAGCGUGGGUAGCAAACAGG